AUGAGGAGACUUGUGUUCAUCCCAGGCCCGGGCAUCGGGCACCUCGUAUCAACGGUUGAGAUCGCAAAGCAACUUGCGGCUAGAGAUCACCAGCUCUUCAUCACAGUCCUCAUCAUGAAGCUCCCCUUCGACCAACUCUUCACCAACACAGACGCUUCCAUCUCACGACGCAUCAACUUCAUCAACCUCCCCGAAGCCCACGUCGACACACGAAACACCGGCCCCUCCUCGUUCUUCAAAACCUUCGUCGAAAAUCACAAAACCCAUGUUAGAGCCGCCGUCUUAGAGUCAAGUACUCAGUCCGAGUCGAACCAGGCUCAGCUGGCCGGGUUGGUCGUUGACAUGUUCUGCACCACUAUGAUUGAUGUGGCCGAUGAAUUUGGGGUUCCUUCCUACGUGUUCUUCACCUCCAACGCCGGGUGUCUCGCGUUCUUGCUCUACCUCCAAAAGCUUCGAGACGAGCAUGGCACGGACGCGGCUCAGUUGAUGGACUCGGAGGCUGAGUUGGCCAUCCCGAGUUUCGUCAACUCUUUGCCUGCCCAUGUCUUGCCCGGUGUGCUAUUGGACAAGGAGGGUGCCACAGCAUUUCUCAAUCAUGCAAAAAGGUUUAGAGAAACCAAGGGUAUUUUAGUAAAUUCGUUCUCAGAGCUGGAAUCACAUGCGCUUCACUCUCUUUCUGAUGAUAAAACCCCACCUGUGUACCCGGUGGGACCUCUGUUGAAUCUUGAGAGUGAUGAUUUCCACGUGAGUACGGACAAGGCUAGACAAAAGUAUGAUAUUUUAAGGUGGCUUGAUGAUCAGCCUUCCUUGUCUGUGGUGUUCUUGUGUUUUGGGAGCAUGGGAAGCUUUGGUGAGGCCCAGGUGAAAGAGAUGGCGUGUGCACUGGAGUACGGUGGGUUUCGGUUCUUGUGGUCCCUACGAAAG
This 924-nucleotide long non-coding RNA is filed under the name Prunus dulcis (almond). RNAcentral's name for it is "sRNA ncRNA". The record is from RNAcentral. Lineage: Eukaryota; Viridiplantae; Streptophyta; Magnoliopsida; Rosales; Rosaceae.